GAACGCUAGCGGCAGGCCUAAUACAUGCAAGUCGAACGAGAUUGUUUUAGCAAUAGAACAUGAAAGUGGCGCACGGGUGCGUAACACGUAUGCAACCUACCUUACAUUGGGGGAUAGCCUUUCGAAAGGGAGAUUAAUACCGCAUAAGACAGUAACUAGGCAUCUAGUAGCUGUUAAAGAUUUAUCGAUGUAAGCUGGGCAUGCGUCCAAUUAGUUAGUUGGCGAGGUAAUGGCUCACCAAGACGAUGAUUGGUAGGGGAACUGAGAGGUCAAUCCCCCACACUGGCACUGAGAUACGGGCCAGACUCCUACGGGAGGCAGCAGUAGGGAAUAUUGGGCAAUGGGCGCAAGCCUGACCCAGCCAUGCCGCGUGCAGGAAGAAGGCGUUAUGCGUUGUAAACUGCUUUUAUACACGGAAGAAACGACCCUUGCGAGGGGCAUUGACGGUACUGUAUGAAUAAGCACCGGCUAACUCCGUG
Molecule: ribosomal RNA, 479 nt
Filed under: uncultured bacterium
Lineage: Bacteria
Description: bacterial SSU rRNA
Rfam family: Bacterial small subunit ribosomal RNA
Source: RNAcentral